GACGAACGCUGGCGGCAGGCUUAACACAUGCAAGUCGAGCGCCCCGCAAGGGGAGCGGCAGACGGGUGAGUAACGCGUGGGAACGUACCCUUUACUACGGAAUAACGCAGGGAAACUUGUGCUAAUACCGUAUGUGCCCUUUGGGGGAAAGAUUUAUCGGUAAAGGAUCGGCCCGCGUUGGAUUAGCUAGUUGGUGGGGUAAAGGCCUACCAAGGCGACGAUCCAUAGCUGGUCUGAGAGGAUGAUCAGCCACAUUGGGACUGAGACACGGCCCAAACUCCUACGGGAGGCAGCAGUGGGGAAUAUUGGACAAUGGGCGCAAGCCUGAUCCAGCCAUGCCGCGUGAGUGAUGAAGUCCCUAGGGUUGUAAAGCUCUUUCGCCGGAGAAGAUAAUGACGGUAUCCGGAGAAGAAGCCCCGGCUAACUUCGUGCCAGCCGCCGCCGUAA
Molecule: ribosomal RNA, 447 nt
Filed under: uncultured bacterium
Lineage: Bacteria
Description: partial 16S ribosomal RNA
Rfam family: Bacterial small subunit ribosomal RNA
Source: RNAcentral